AGUAGUAGUAAACGGAAGUAAACAGUGACCAAUAACCAUUUCCACGUUAGCGGUUUUAUUGUUAUUUAGACGUUUAUUACAUCCUGGAACUCAACAUAUGACUAAGUUAACUGCACAGCAUUACAUACUUACCCCAGGUAGUAUUUAACUCGCCUUGGAGACAGGACCUGGUUGAUGCUAGGUAAUGCUAGCUAGGUAGCCGCUAAUGGCUAACUGUAUGGUUUUUCACACUCAAAUAUCCUCCAUCAUGGAGGUGCUAGCUAAUGCAGCCGUGGCAGAGAUCUGUAAACUCGUAGACGACGACUAUGCAGUGUUUCGUUUGGAAAUGUCUCAAAGCCAGAAAGAAAACAGGGGAUUGCGGAGGAAACUACAGCAACUGGAACUGAAGGUGUCACGGGAGCGCGCAGAGAGGACCAUUAGAGAGCGGGUCCUCGCCAGUCGUCCCAGUAGUGUCAAGAUCCUCGACCGAUACAGAGGAAUGGCAAGAGGUGAAGGACAUCUCACUGGAGGUCACAGGAGCUUUGUGAAGCCAGCGGGACACAACACAUGGAGAGAUGACCAACCAAUCACUGGUGAUGAGGGGAGUGGAACCUCAACCCAGCAUGUUAUCGUGAUAGAGUCUGUAGAUGCAGAGGCUGCAGGUCCUGGGGUCAAGCAGCAGAUGACUAAAGGAAAGAAGGACCCACAGCACAGCAGAGACAUCCAGACCGAGGCAGUGGCUGGAGUGGUGCCCCCUGUGGCCACGGAGGUCCUCUCCGCUGUGCCCCAGGCCAGGACCAUACGCAGCAUCAUGGAGGAGGAGGAGGGUCCAGAGGUGCUGCUGGUGAAGGAGGAGGGUCUGGGGAACCCUGAGGGAACCAUGGUCAUGGAGGACAACCAGACUACACCACCUCCUGAAACCACAGAGGAACUAGCUGAGCAGCAUAGGACCACACACAGUCUCACUGAGUCAGUAGACAUGGAGGAUGGGAAGCCUGAUCUGCUGCUGGUCAAAGAGGAGACAAUAGAAGACGGACCAGAGAGCAUUGACCUGCUGAGUGGACUAAAGAUGGGGGAGCAAGGUGGUUGGCUGGAGGCUAACAGAAGAGACUGGGUGGCCAUCUUGGAUUUCCAGACCCAGACGGGUGCAGCCAAGGGCCCAGGGGACAACAUUACUGAGCAGGCGAGGACCAGAAGUGACAUAGUGGAGUCUGCAGUCCAUGAGGACCUGCUGAUAUCUGGUGUUGCUGACGUGAGAGACUGGACCUCUGAGGUGGGUGGUCACAAACCCUGGCCCCGGAUCAAAACCCUGGAUCUGGAGCCAUCACUCUUCCUUCCCGAGUCGGAACUAGGACCCAACCGUGAGGGACAGAGACUCCACCACCACACAAAACACAACCAGUGGACAGGUGGACUGAACAACCUCAGUCCUGGUGGUCAUCAGAGAGACAGAGGCUGCAGUCAGGGAUCCAGUCUGCAGUCUGGGGCUGAUAAAGAUAGACCCUCCUGUUCCUAUGAUACAAACACCACAAUAUCCAUGAUGAACAGAUCAGGUCACCCUGGGCUUCAGCCUUCACAGAGAGUGACGGGAGCCCCCCCUGGAGGUAGUCUACCAGCCAGUCGGUCUUCUCCUUCAGGGCCUCGUCCAAUUCCUGGUGAAUGGGUUCAUAGAAGGUCUGGACCUGGGUCUAGCCUUCCUCAGCUACCUCAUGGUUACCCCACCAAUACAGACAGGGUCAGGAUGGGUGUUCACCAUAAGAGGUACCUAGCCUAUAACACAGCACACAAUCCCAACAACACCCAAACAAUGUCUAGAGGUCAAGGAGGGAGCUCAAAAACUCUUGCUUCUACCUCUGGUGUCAUUGGGUUACAAUGUGGGAGGCCGAGCAUUAGGAUGGACGCCGACAAGCCAUAUGCCUGCCCCACGUGUGGGAAGCGCUUUGCUGAGGCAAGGUAUGUGAAGCAGCACCAGACUGUUCACACCAAAGACAGCUUCAAGUGCAAAUUAUGUCACAAGAGCUUCUCCUUCCUGAGUAGCCUUAUCAGACAUAGGAGUGUCCACAAUGGGGAGAAAUCGUAGCAGUGUGGCUUAAGAUGUACACAGGGGAUGUCUUUAUCUAACAUAUUAUAGUUAUCAUGUGAAAUGUCUAGGGAUAAGAGGGUAAUUAACCACAUACCCCUCAUUAACCGCUUUAACUUUUAAUUUGAAACAGGCUUGCGUUAAUACCUGAUUUUAGAGAGAUAGUAAACCUAGGCUAGAACAAGUAUAGUUUAAUAUUCUCUGGUCUGUUGAAACCAAGAUUGAACUCUUUGGCCUGAAUGCCAAGCGUCACGUCUGGAGGACACCUGGCAGGGACUGGGAGACUAGUCAGGAUCGAGGCAAAGAUGAACGGAGCAAAGUGCAGAGCGAUCCUUGAUGAAAACCUGCUCCAGAGCACUCAGGACCCCUGGGGUGAAGGUUCAUCUUCCAACAGGACCCUAAGCACACAGCCAAGGUAACGCAGGAGUGGCUUUGGGACAAGUCUGAAUGUUCUUGAGUAUCCAGCCAGAGCCCAGACUUGAACCCAAUCAAACAUUUCUGGAGAGACCUGAAAAUAGCUGUGUAGCUACACUCCCCAUCCAACCUGACAGAGCAUGAGAGGAUCUGCAGAGAUGAAUGGGAGAAACUCCCCAAAUACAGGUGUGCCAAGCUUGUAGCGUUAUACCCAAGAAGACUCAAGGCUGAAAUCGCUUCCAAAGGUGCUUUAACAAAGUACUGAGUAAAGGCUCUGAAUACUUGUGCAAAUGUGAUAUUUCAGUUUUAUAUUUUUAAUAAAUUAGCAAUAGUUUAUAAAAACCUGUUUUUGCUUUGUUAAUAUGGGGCAUUGUGUGUGUGGAUUGAUGAAUGGAAAAAAUGAUCUAACACAUUUUAGAAUAAGGCUGUAAUGUAACAAAAUGUGGAAAAACAGGGCAUUGUGGAGGAAACUACAGCUACUGGAACUGAAGGUGGCACGAUAGCACAUCCCCGCCAGUUGUCCCAGUACUGUCAAGAUCCUCGACCGAUACAGAGGAAUGGCAAAAGCUGAAGGACAUCUUAUUGGAGGCCACAGGAGUUUGGGAAAUCAGUGGGACACAAUACAUGCAGAGAUGACCAACCAAUCACUGUUGAUGAGGUGGCAGACAUCUCACUGGAGGCCACAGGAGCUUUGUGAAGCCAGCGGGACACAAUACAUGGAGAGAUGACCAACCAAUCACUGUUCAUGAGGGGAGUGGAACCUCAACCCAGCAUUUUAUCAUGAUAGAGGUUAGUUUAAUAGUGUUGCAUUACAAAUUACAGUUACUUUGUAAAUCAAAUGUGUCCCGUUUGUUUCAGAAAGGCUCCCCUCAGCUAUUCACUUCAGCUAUCUGCCUUAGGGGAACUUGAGAGACUUCCCUACAACAUUAUCCAAUACGCCAUGGUUCCUUGUUUUGUAGAUUGAAAAUUUGCUUGAAAUGUGUGUGUGUAUAUAUAUAUAUAUUAAAAUGUAUGUGUUUCCAAGGUAAUGUACUUACCAUAUGCCGGUUUUCAACGUAUCUGACGACCAAGAAGAAGCAUAAAGCCGAAACGUUAAUCAUUAAAUGUUUAGCUUUUUUUUUUUUGUACUGGCUGGCAAUGUUCAGUAAAAAAGGUCCAGUGUAAUCUAAUAUAAAGGUUUUUAUCGUCCUGUGAGUCCAACUUGAGCAGGCAUGCUAACAGGGUUGCUGAGUUGUAGUUCAAAUGAGACUUUAAUAACUUAUUCUUAUUUGUUGAGUGUUAAAUAUUUAGAUAAAAGGCAUCUCAAUACACAAAUACGAAUAUAAUUGUAUCUUCAAAAAGUAUUCACAGCUCUUGACUUUUUCCACAUUUUGUUAUGUUACUGCCUGAAUUGAACAUGUAUUCAAUUUAAAUGUUGUCACUGAUCUCCACACAAUACCUCAUAAUGUCAAAGUGGAAUUUUGUUUGUAGAACAAUUUAGAAAUGAAUACAAAAUGAAAAUCUGAAAUGUAUUGAGUCACAUUUUCAACCCUUUUGUUAUGGCAAGUCUAAAGUUUAGGAGUACAAAUCUGCUUAACAAAUCGCAUAAUAUGUUGCAUGGACUUAUUCUGUAUUCAAUAAGAGGUUAACAUGAUUUUUGAAUAACUAGCCCAUUUCUAUACCCCACACAUACAAUUAUCUGUAAGGUCCCUCAAUUGAGCAGUGAAUUUCAAGCAGAUAUUCAACCACAAAGACCAGGUAGGUUUUUCCAUGCCUCGCAAAGAAGGGCACCUUUGAGCAUGGUGAAGUAAUUAAUUAGGCUAUAGAUGGUGUAUCAAUACACCCAGUCACUACAAAGAUACAGGCAUCCUUCCUAACUCAGUUGCCGGAGAGGAAUGAAAUUGCUCAGGGUUUCACCAUCAGGCCAAUGGUGAUUUUAAAACGGUUACAGAGUUUAAUGGCUGUGAUAGGAGAAAUCUGGGGAUGGCUCAACAACAUUGUAGUUAGUCCACAAUACUAACGUAAAUGACUGAGUGAAAAUAAGAAAGCCUAUACAGAAUAAAAAUAUAACAAAACAUGCAUCCUGUUUGCAAUAAGGCACUUCGGAAAGUAUUCAGACCUCUUGACUUUUUCCACAUUUUGUUAGGUUACAGCCUUAUUCUAAAAUUGAUUGAAUCGGUUUUUCCCCCUCAGUCUACACACAAUACCCCAUAAUGACAAAGCAAAAACAAUUUCAGACAUUUUUGCUAAUUUAUCAAAUUUCAACUGAUAUGUAAAUGUGAUAAGUAUUCAGACCCUUUACUCAGUACUUUGUUGAAGCACCUUUGGCAGCGAUGACAGCUGUGAGUCUUCUCGGGUAUGACGCUACAAGCUUGGCACACCUGUAUUUGAGGAGUUUCUCACAUUCCUCUCUGUAGUUCCUCUCAAGCUCUGUCAGGUUGGAUGGGAACAUUGCUGCACAGCUAUUUUCAGUUCUCUCCAGAGAUAUUCGAUCGGGUUCUGGCUGGGCCACUCAAGGACAUUGAGACUUGUCCCGAAGCUACUCCUGUGUUGUCUUGGCUGUGUGCUUAGGGUUGUUGUCAUGUUGGUAGGUGAACCUUCGCCCUAGUUGGAGGUCCUAAGCACUCUGGAGCAGGUUUUCAUCAAGGAUCUCUCUGUACUUUGCUCCGUUCAUCUUUCCCUAGAUCCUAACUACUCUCCCAGUCCCUGCCGCUGAAAAACAUCCCCACAGCAAGAUGCUGCCAUCACCAUGCUUCACCGUAAGGAUGGUGCCAGGUUUCCUCUCAAAGUGACGCUUGGCAUUCAGGCCAACAAGUUUAAUCUUGGUUUCAUCUGACCAGAGAAUCUUGUUUCUCAUGGUCUGAGCGUCGUUAGGUGCCUUUUGUCAAACUCCAAGUGGGCCUCCCUGACCAAGGCCCUUCUUCUCCAAUUGCUCAGUUUUGCCCGGGCGGCCAACUCUUGGUGGUUGGACGAGUCUUGGUGGUUCCAAACUUCUUCCAUUUAAGAAUGAUCGGGCCACUGUGUUCUUGGGGACCUUCAAUGCUGCAGAAAUGUUUUGGUACCCUUCCCCAGAUCUGUGCCUCGACACAAUCCUGUCUCCGAGCUCUACGGCAAUUCCUUCAACUUCAUUGCUUGAUGUUUGCUCUGACAUGCACUGUCAACUGUGGGACCUUCUAUAGACAGGUGUGUGCCUUUCCAAAUCAUGUACAAUCAAUUUUAUUUACUACAGGUGCACUCCAAUCAAGUUAUAGAAACAUCAAGGAUGAUCAAUGGAAACAGGAUGCACCUGAACUCAAUUUCGAGUCUCAAAGCAAAGAGUCUGAAUACUUAUGUAAAUAAGGUAUUUAUAAAAACCUGUUCUCACUUUGUCAUUAUAGGGUAUUGUGUGUAGAUUGAUGAAAAAUGAUUUUUUUUAAAUACGGCUAUAAUGUAACAAAAUGUGGAAAAAGUCAAGGGGUCGAAAUACUUUCCGAAGGCACUGUAAAUAUGAAAAAAAAACUGUGGCAAAGAAAUUAAAGCUUUCAAUUCAGGACAUAAAGUUAUGUUUGGGGCAAACACACAUCACUGAGUGCCGUUCAUAUUUUCAAGCAUGGUGGUGGCUGCAUCAUGUUUUGGGUAUGCUUGUCAUCGGCAAAGACUAGGGAGUUUUUUAGGAUAAAAGGUAACGGUAUAGAGCUAAGCACAGGCAAAAACCUAGCGAAAAAUCUGGUUCAGUCUGCUUUCCAACAGACAAUGGGAGACAAAUUCAGCUUUCAGCAGGACAAUAACCUAAAACAAGGCCAAAUAUACAUUGGAGUUGCUUAGCAAGAUGACAUUGAAUGUUCCUAAGUGGCCUAGUUACUGUUUUGACUUAAAUUGGCUUGAAAAUCUAUGGCAAGAAUUGAAAAUGGCUGUCUAGAAAGGAUCAACAACCAGCUUGACAGCUUGAAGAAUUAAAAAAAGAAUAAUGUGCAAAUAUUGUACAAUCAAUCCAGGUGUGCAAAGCUCUAAUAGACUUACCCAGAAAGACUCACAGCUGUAACCGCUGACAAAGGUGAUUCUAACAUGUAUUGUUUAAUGGGUGUGAAUACUUUUGUAUAUGAGAUUUCUGUAUUUCAUUUUCAAUAAAUUUGCUAACAUUUAAAAAAAUAUGUUUUCACUUUGUCAUUAUGGAGUAUUGUGUUUUCAGUGGCUUGCAAAAGUAUUCACCUCCCUUGGCAUUUUUCCUAUUUUGUUUCCUUACAACCUGGAAUUAAAGUGGAUUUUUGGGGGGUUUGUAUCAUUUGAUUAACACAACAACACUUAAGAUGCAAAAUAGUUUUUAUUGUUUAACAAAUAAAGAAAUAAGACAAAA
RNA transcript from Oncorhynchus nerka (sockeye salmon), 6785 nucleotides. RefSeq lists it as uncharacterized. Lineage: Eukaryota; Metazoa; Chordata; Actinopteri; Salmoniformes; Salmonidae. The transcript has 9 exons. The record is from RefSeq and is a predicted model, not a curated record.